GAUGAACGCUAGCUACAGGCUUAACACAUGCAAGUCGCGGGGCAGCAUGGGGGUUGCUUGCCAUCCCCGAUGGCGACCGGCGCACGGGUGAGUAACGCGUAUCCAACCUGCCCUUCACCACGGGAUAACCCGGCGAAAGUCGGACUAAUACCGUAUGUUGUCCAUUGACGGCCUCCGAUUUGGACGAAAGGUUUGGCGGUGAAGGAUGGGGAUGCGUCCGAUUAGCUGGACGGCGGGGUGACGGCCCACCGUGGCGACGAUCGGUAGGGGUUCUGAGAGGAAGGUCCCCCACACUGGAACUGAGACACGGUCCAGACUCCUACGGGAGGCAGCAGUGAGGAAUAUUGGUCAAUGGGCGUAAGCCUGAACCAGCCAAGUAGCGUGCAGGAUGACGGCCCUAUGGGUUGUAAACUGCUUUUAUGCGGGGAUAAAGUGGCCCACGUGUGGGUUUUUGCAGGUACCGCAUGAAUAAGGACCGGCUAAUUCCGUG
RNAcentral lists this ribosomal RNA (490 nucleotides) under uncultured bacterium. Its description in RNAcentral is "partial 16S ribosomal RNA". It matches the Rfam family "Bacterial small subunit ribosomal RNA", at positions 28 to 507 of the family's 1533-position model. The record is from RNAcentral.